Molecule: non-coding RNA, 113 nt
Filed under: Devosia geojensis
Lineage: Bacteria; Pseudomonadati; Pseudomonadota; Alphaproteobacteria; Hyphomicrobiales; Devosiaceae
Description: TPP sequence
Rfam family: TPP riboswitch aptamer (THI element)
About the family: Vitamin B(1) in its active form thiamin pyrophosphate (TPP) is an essential coenzyme that is synthesised by coupling of pyrimidine and thiazole moieties in bacteria. The previously detected thiamin-regulatory element, thi box was extended, resulting in a new, highly conserved RNA secondary structure, the THI element, which is widely distributed in eubacteria and also occurs in some archaea.
Source: Rfam by way of RNAcentral
CCACAUCCACAGGGGUGCCCCGUUAUAGCCGGGGCUGAGAUGCGGGCGGCAGGCCUGCGGACCCUAUAGCUGAUCUGGAUCAUACCAGCGGAGCGAGAGGGACCAUGUAUUCA